Molecule: ribosomal RNA, 502 nt
Filed under: uncultured bacterium
Lineage: Bacteria
Description: partial 16S ribosomal RNA
Rfam family: Bacterial small subunit ribosomal RNA
Source: RNAcentral
AUUGAACGCUGGCGGCAUGCCUUACACAUGCAAGUCGAGCGGCAGCGCGGGGGCAACCCUGGCGGCGAGCGGCGAACGGGUGAGUAAUGCAUCGGAACGUGUCCUCUUGUGGGGGAUAACCAGUCGAAAGACUGGCUAAUACCGCAUGAGAUCGCAAGAUGAAAGCAGGGGACCCGCAAGGGCCUUGCGCGAGAGGAGCGGCCGAUGCCUGAUUAGCUAGUUGGUGGGGUAAAAGCCUACCAAGGCGACGAUCAGUAGCUGGUCUGAGAGGACGACCAGGCACACUGGGACUGAGACACGGCCCAGACUCCUACGGGAGGCAGCAGUUGGGAAUUUUGGACAAUGGGGGCAACCCUGAUCCAGCCAUGCCGCGUGUGUGAAGAAGGCCUUCGGGUUGUAAAGCACUUUCGGCCGGAACGAAAUCGCGCGGGUGAACAUCCCGCGUGGAUGACGGUACCGGAAGAAGAAGCACCGGCUAACUACGUGCCAGCCGCCGCAGUAA